UCCGGUUGAUCCUGCCGGAGGCCACCGCUAUUGGAAUUCGAUUAAGCCAUGCGAGUCGAGAGGGUUCGGCCCUCGGCAUACGGCUCAGUAACACGCGAACAAUCUACCCUGAGGAGGAGGAUAACCCCUGGGAAACUGGGAACAAUACUCCAUAGGUCAUGUAUGCUGGAAUGCUUCAUGAUUCAAAUGCUCCGGCGCCUCAGGAUGAGUUUGUGGCCUAUCAGGUUGUAGUGGGUGUAAAGGACCCACUAGCCGUCGACGGGUACGGGCUGUGAGAGCAGUUGCCCGGAGAUGGAUUCUGAGACACGAAUCCAGGCCCUACGGGGCGCAGCAGGCGCGAAAACUUCGCAAUGUGGGAAACCACGACGAGGGAAUUCCAAGUGCCAGGGCAAAGCUCUGGCUGUUCAAAUACCUAAAAAGUAUCUGAAGUAAGAGCUGGGUAAGACGGGUGCCAGCCGCCGCGGUAAUACCCGCAGCUCGAGUGGUGGUCGCUAUUAUUGAGCCUAAAGCGUCCGUAGCCGGUCUGGUAAAUCCUUGGGGAAAUCGAGCAGCUUAACUGUUCGAAGACCGGGGAGACUGCCAGACUUGGGACCGGGGGAGGUCAGAGGUACUCCGGGAGUAGGGGUGAAAUCCUAUGAUCCUCGGGGGACCACCAGUGGCGAAGGCGUCUGACUAAAACGGAUCCGACGGUAAGGGACGAAACCCUGGGGCGCGAACGGGAUUAGAUACCCCGGUAGUCCAGGGCGCAAACGCUGCAGGCUUGGUGUUGGGGAUCCCACGAGGAUGCCCAGUGCCGGAGUGAAGAUGUUAAGCCUGCCGCUUGGGGAGUACGGUCGCAAGACUGAAACUUAAAGGAAUUGGCGGGGGAGCACAGCAACGGGUGGAGCGUGCGGUUUAAUUGGAUUCAACGCCGUAAAACUCACCGGGAGCGACUGUUACAUGAAGGCCAGGCUGAUGACCUUGCCUGAUUUUCAGAGAGGUGGUGCAUGGCCGUCGUCAGUUCGUACCGUAAGGCGUUCUGUUAAGUCAGAUAACGAACGAGACCCUCGCCCCUAUUUGCUACUUAUCCCUCCGGGGAUGAGGCACUAUAGGGGGACCGCUGCUGCUAAAGCAGAGGAAGGGGAGGUCAACGGUAGGUCAGUAUGCCCCGAAUCUUCCGGGCAACACGCGCGCUACAAAGGACGGGACAAUGAGAUCCGACCCCGAAAGGGGCAGGUAACCUCCAAACCCGUUCGUAGUUCGGAUUGUGGGCUGUAACCCGCCCUCAUGAAGCUGGAAUCCGUAGUAAUCGCGGGUCAACAUCCCGCGGUGAAUGUGCCCCUGCUCCUUGCACACACCGCCCGUCAAACCACCCGAGUUGGGUCUGAAUGAGGGCUCCUCGUCUUGGGGAGUUCGAAUUUAGGUUCAGCAAGGAGGGUUAAGUCGUAACAAGGUA
Molecule: ribosomal RNA, 1435 nt
Filed under: metagenome
Description: bacterial SSU rRNA
Rfam family: Archaeal small subunit ribosomal RNA
Source: RNAcentral